This 460-nucleotide ribosomal RNA is filed under the name uncultured bacterium. RNAcentral describes it as "SSU rRNA". It matches the Rfam family "Bacterial small subunit ribosomal RNA", at positions 26 to 518 of the family's 1533-position model. The record is from RNAcentral.
AGAAUCAACGCUGGCGGCGUGCCUAACACAUGCAAGUCGAACGAGAAAGUGGAGCAAUCCAUUAGUAAAGUGGCGCACGGGUGAGUAACACGUGACUAACCUACCCUUGAGUGGGGGAUAACCUAGGGAAACCUGGGCUAAUACCGCAUAAUACCUUCGGGUCAAAGGAGCAAUUCGCUUAAGGAGGGGGUCGCGGCCGAUUAGUUAGUUGGCGGGGUAAUGGCCCACCAAGACGAUGAUCGGUAUCCGGCCUGAGAGGGCGCACGGACACACUGGAACUGAAACACGGUCCAGACUCCUACGGGAGGCAGCAGUGGGGAAUUUUGCGCAAUGGGGGAAACCCUGACGCAGCAACGCCGCGUGGAGGAUGAAGCCCCUUGGGGCGUAAACUCCUUUCGAUCGGGACGAUUAUGACGGUACCGGAAGAAGAAGCCCCGGCUAACUUCGUGCCAGCAGCCGC